RNAcentral lists this non-coding RNA (107 nucleotides) under unclassified sequences. RNAcentral's name for it is "SAM-I-IV sequence". It matches the Rfam family "SAM-I/IV (S-adenosyl methionine) riboswitch aptamer". From Rfam's summary of the family: It is found upstream of a number of genes which code for proteins involved in methionine or cysteine biosynthesis. It has been found mostly in the order Actinomycetales. The record is from Rfam by way of RNAcentral.
AUCAAGCAUCAAGAGAAGAACUAAUACUCAAUGGUUCUCGCCAACCUGCUAAACCUGGUAAGGUGGUCGAGUAAAAGAUGUGGCUUCGCAGCAAUUAAGAGGUCAAU